This 1476-nucleotide ribosomal RNA is filed under the name Lactiplantibacillus plantarum. RNAcentral's name for it is "bacterial SSU rRNA". It matches the Rfam family "Bacterial small subunit ribosomal RNA". Lineage: Bacteria; Bacillati; Bacillota; Bacilli; Lactobacillales; Lactobacillaceae. The record is from RNAcentral.
AAAGAUGAGGGGGGGGCCCAAUGCAUGCAAGUCGAACGAACUCUGGGUAUUGAUUGGUGCUUGCAUCAUGAUUUACAUUUGAGUGAGUGGCGAACUGGUGAGUAACACGUGGGAAACCUGCCCAGAAGCGGGGGAUAACACCUGGAAACAGAUGCUAAUACCGCAUAACAACUUGGACCGCAUGGUCCGAGUUUGAAAGAUGGCUUCGGCUAUCACUUUUGGAUGGUCCCGCGGCGUAUUAGCUAGAUGGUGGGGUAACGGCUCACCAUGGCAAUGAUACGUAGCCGACCUGAGAGGGUAAUCGGCCACAUUGGGACUGAGACACGGCCCAAACUCCUACGGGAGGCAGCAGUAGGGAAUCUUCCACAAUGGACGAAAGUCUGAUGGAGCAACGCCGCGUGAGUGAAGAAGGGUUUCGGCUCGUAAAACUCUGUUGUUAAAGAAGAACAUAUCUGAGAGUAACUGUUCAGGUAUUGACGGUAUUUAACCAGAAAGCCACGGCUAACUACGUGCCAGCAGCCGCGGUAAUACGUAGGUGGCAAGCGUUGUCCGGAUUUAUUGGGCGUAAAGCGAGCGCAGGCGGUUUUUUAAGUCUGAUGUGAAAGCCUUCGGCUCAACCGAAGAAGUGCAUCGGAAACUGGGAAACUUGAGUGCAGAAGAGGACAGUGGAACUCCAUGUGUAGCGGUGAAAUGCGUAGAUAUAUGGAAGAACACCAGUGGCGAAGGCGGCUGUCUGGUCUGUAACUGACGCUGAGGCUCGAAAGUAUGGGUAGCAAACAGGAUUAGAUACCCUGGUAGUCCAUACCGUAAACGAUGAAUGCUAAGUGUUGGAGGGUUUCCGCCCUUCAGUGCUGCAGCUAACGCAUUAAGCAUUCCGCCUGGGGAGUACGGCCGCAAGGCUGAAACUCAAAGGAAUUGACGGGGGCCCGCACAAGCGGUGGAGCAUGUGGUUUAAUUCGAAGCUACGCGAAGAACCUUACCAGGUCUUGACAUACUAUGCAAAUCUAAGAGAUUAGACGUUCCCUUCGGGGACAUGGAUACAGGUGGUGCAUGGUUGUCGUCAGCUCGUGUCGUGAGAUGUUGGGUUAAGUCCCGCAACGAGCGCAACCCUUAUUAUCAGUUGCCAGCAUUAAGUUGGGCACUCUGGUGAGACUGCCGGUGACAAACCGGAGGAAGGUGGGGAUGACGUCAAAUCAUCAUGCCCCUUAUGACCUGGGCUACACACGUGCUACAAUGGAUGGUACAACGAGUUGCGAACUCGCGAGAGUAAGCUAAUCUCUUAAAGCCAUUCUCAGUUCGGAUUGUAGGCUGCAACUCGCCUACAUGAAGUCGGAAUCGCUAGUAAUCGCGGAUCAGCAUGCCGCGGUGAAUACGUUCCCGGGCCUUGUACACACCGCCCGUCACACCAUGAGAGUUUGUAACACCCAAAGUCGGUGGGGUAACCUCUAGGAACCAGCCGCCUAAAGGGUGAAUUAA